GUUAAACGAUCUAUUAAUAUGCAUUGUGAAUUAAUUAUGUAUAAAUAAAAAUAAUUAGUAUUAUAAUUGAGUGCAGAACAUGUGAUGUAUUACACGUACACGAGUUGUGUAUGACGUAAGCAGAUGACUCCCGGAAGUGCAAGAGACGCACUGAACACGAGAUGAGAGCGAUACAGAAGGGAUUAAAAAGAAUGAUGAUUGCUGAUUUAAGCGUGGAUGCUAGCCGAUUGUGAAGCUCCUUUGAAUCUGAAGUGGGUGUUUGUCAAACUGUGAAACUCGGGAUUUGGUCAGGUUUAUUGGUUGAGUUGAGAACCUC
Sinocyclocheilus anshuiensis is the source of this 316-nucleotide long non-coding RNA. RefSeq lists it as uncharacterized. The record is from RefSeq and is a predicted model, not a curated record. The transcript has 3 exons. Lineage: Eukaryota; Metazoa; Chordata; Actinopteri; Cypriniformes; Cyprinidae.